AAUAAGUGCAGUUUUAGCACUGUUCAUGUCCAACGUUUGACCGUUCGUCUUAUUUGAAAAAAGAUUAUAAUUAGUAUUUUUAUUGUUAUUAGAUGAUAAAACAUGAAUAGUACUUUAUGUGUGACUAAUUUUUUUAAUAUUUUUUAUAAAUUUUUUAAAUAAGACUGAUGGUCAAAACGCUGAGCACACAUAUCUGACUGCAUUUAUU
Oryza sativa Japonica Group (Japanese rice) is the source of this 208-nucleotide microRNA precursor. It matches the Rfam family "MIR812 microRNA precursor family". NCBI's taxonomy places the organism in Eukaryota, Viridiplantae, Streptophyta, Magnoliopsida, Poales, Poaceae. The record is from Rfam.